ACACCGAUGCACUUCGUGUGUACAAUUCGUUGAUAUAUCACAGUCGUUCCACUCACGUAGGGCCUUGCUCGAGCACCAUAUAAAAAGCGCAACCACGCAACACACGUACAGCUCUCGCCUCGGCUGUAUCCAUAGCACCUUGUGCACGUACUCCCCCUUCGUACCGUGCUCUGUCCUCUCUUUCCCACUCUCUUUUUCCUUCUUUCUCUUUUUCUCCUUCGUUCUUGAACGCUGCCGCGGGAAUGAACCACGACGCGAUCGCGCCUCUUCUCCCCCGGAUCGCUCUCGAGAACCCGCUCGUCGUCUUGUAGAGAGAAAUUCUGUUCUCCAGUGUUCUCUCUUUCUCUCACUUUCUGCACGCGUCUCCCAUUUUCCACGGGUCAGAAUUCUUCGAAAGUGUCCGUGCCGGCCGAAGCACGGUCACGCGCGCGCACACGCCGUUGGGCGACCGUCUAAAAAUAUUACGACAACCGGAAAUUUUCUACGUGAUGCAGCCUGCCUUUCGUAUCGCGCGACAGGAUCCCGUCGUCGUGGUGUCGCAAAGUGCCACUCAACGGCCGCCGAGAUUGGCGCGCCGCGACGUGAGUCGCGGCUAACUUCGCGCCACUCGCUCGAAUUCCUCCUCACCGUCGGCCCAACGGACGCCGAUUAUGUGGGUUAUGAGUACGUGGACCGCCUACGUGAAUCAUCUCGAUCGAUCGUCGCGGCGAUCAAUCACACAAUCGAUCGCGAUGCAACGCGACGGGCUGCUCUCUUCGACCCCGUGGGAAAGCAACGCGCCUCGUCGCCAAACCCAGACGAGUCGCGCGUUCGACGUUCACCUCGUUCGACUGUUCGCUACGUUCACUUCGAUAGCAAAACCAGGUCGGGUGGCAUGACUCACUCAACUCACUCGGCGGUUCGCAUCGAACGGACGCGACAAACUUUUCGCAACGCGGGUUUUGCACCUUUGCGAUCCGCGGUGGGAUUUCGAACGACUACAGAUCAAUAUUGGAAAUCGAUAAUGACUGGCAGAAUCGUUCCACCGAGGAUCCACGGCAACCUUCCGCGUGCGCGUGCCGCGCAACCGUUCCGCGAAAGGCGAGUACUUCACGGUACUUGCGUAAGGCACGCACUGAGGAAGAACGACGAACCGCCCGACGAACGGACCGCGAGUUCGUGCAUCCACCAAUUCACCGCCACGUCCAACGCACCCACACGCAUGCACGCACGCGCGCACGGUGGCGGGACAAGAAGACUGAAACGGGUUCGGUCUAUUGUGGAGAAAGGGGUAUCACCGCAAGCCCGAGAGAGAGACGCGAUGGUCGGAAGGAGGAAGAAGACGAAGGGAGGGUGGAAUCGAAGAAGGUAAGGUGAACGAGCCAAGACGAACGCGAGAAUCACGAUUGCCUUGGUCAUGCUGUUGAAUCGUGCAUGACACUCAUCGCGAGAAUCGAUUCGUUUUGAAAAUAUUCAAUUAAAUUAGACAAAUAUAGCGAUGCUGUUAAACAAUAGAAAGAGAAGACAAAAGGAUCAGGAAGGAUAUAUCAUCGAUAUAGAUUCGAAAUAUUCAAUGCUCUCUCUGUUGCACAAAACUUCUAUUUAUUUUAUUAUUGCUGUUAUUCUAUAUGAAGGUAUACGCCAAUCGUUAUAUUUUUACAAUCGCGAUUCGAUGCGCAGAUCAUUCUCGCGUAUACCGCGCUUUAUUAAAAUUUAUAUUUAUCGAUAUUAUAUCUAUUUAAGUAACUAUGGGUUUUGCUUAACUUUUGUAACGAAGUGGAAAUAAUCACUGUGAUAAUGAUCUAAAAGCUAGAUCGGAAAAUGGCUUAAAAAAUGUUUUAUUUGACUGUAUAAGUUAUCGACUGUACGAUACAAAAUAUGAAAUAAUUUACAAAGUUUUCCUGGCUGGGCAAAAAUUGCACAGUGCAAGAAAAACAUAUACAUGGCUUUUAGUACAUUUUACAUGACAUGUAACAAGAUUAAUAAAUAUCUUACUCUGAAGAGA
Long non-coding RNA from Ooceraea biroi (clonal raider ant), 1984 nucleotides. RefSeq lists it as uncharacterized. The record is from RefSeq and is a predicted model, not a curated record. Lineage: Eukaryota; Metazoa; Arthropoda; Insecta; Hymenoptera; Formicidae.